AAAAAAAAAAAAAAAACUCUAAAAUAUGAGAGAAAAGCAAUGAAAAUUUGAUGGGGUACUCAGCAAGCGAUGUCUUUUUUUGAGAGGAACAAAAUUUGAUGUGAGAAGAAAGCAAGAAAGAGAAUAACGCCUCAAAAGAGAAAAGCAACCAACAAUUUCUCUCUCUCCUCUCUCUCUCUCUGUAACUUGAAAAUGCAAAACUAAAAUCAUCUCAUGAUAAGCCAACGUCGUCAUGAUCACAAAAUGCCCACGAA
Molecule: unclassified non-coding RNA, 254 nt
Filed under: Hevea brasiliensis (rubber tree)
Lineage: Eukaryota; Viridiplantae; Streptophyta; Magnoliopsida; Malpighiales; Euphorbiaceae
Source: RNAcentral